Long non-coding RNA from Octopus sinensis (East Asian common octopus), 154 nucleotides. RefSeq lists it as uncharacterized. The transcript has 3 exons. NCBI's taxonomy places the organism in Eukaryota, Metazoa, Mollusca, Cephalopoda, Octopoda, Octopodidae. The record is from RefSeq and is a predicted model, not a curated record.
AACCAGGACAUUCUGAACAUGGAAACCUGGUACCAAGGAAAGUGGAGCUCUUCUUUGUUGGCUGAUUAUUGUUGGUCACUAAAAAGGGACAUUCCAGAAGCUAAAUACAGUCGAAAAUCAUAAACUUCUACAUUUUAAAGACUAUGGAGAUGCA